CCUACGGGUGGCUGCAGUGGGGGAUAUUGCACAAUGGGGGGAACCCUGAUGCAGCGACGCCGCGUGGGUGAAGGAGCGUUUCGGCGCGUAAAGCCCUAUCGGCAGGGAAGAAGAUGACGGUACCUGACCAAGAAGCCCCGGCUAACUACGUGCCAGCAGCCGCGGUAAUACGGGGGAUGCGAGCGUUAUCCGGAUUUAUUGGGUUUAAAGGGUGCGUAGGCGGUCCGUUAAGUCAGCGGUAAAAUUGCGGGGCUAAACCCCGUCGAGCCGUUGAAACUGGCAGACUUGAGUUGGCGAGAAGUACGUGGAAUGCGCGGUGUAGCGGUGAAAUGCAUAGAGAUCGCGCAGAACGCCGAUUGCGAAGGCAGCGUACCGGCGCCAGACUGACGCUGAGGCACGAAAGUGUGGGGAUCGAACAGGAUUAGAUACCCUUGUAGUC
RNAcentral lists this ribosomal RNA (439 nucleotides) under uncultured bacterium. RNAcentral's name for it is "partial 16S ribosomal RNA". It matches the Rfam family "Bacterial small subunit ribosomal RNA", at positions 338 to 795 of the family's 1533-position model. The record is from RNAcentral.